CAGCAUAUAUGCUCUUGGUGCGCCGCAACUCGCAAUGAGUACGCGACGCCCCGGGAAUGCGGGGCAAUAUAUAUAGAAUUACCCAUCUUCCCUCAUAUUUAAAAUAUAUUUACUUUCAUUACGCCUUUAGGUUUAUUAUAAUCCUCAUGACUCGCAUAUAUGCUAGACUCCUUGGUCCGUGUUUCAAGACGGGUCCUGUGAUUACCCAAAAUCAUAAACCCCAUUGACAGAUGUUUUAAUGAAUCUGUUCGAGAACACUAUGACUAACAAUAUAAUAUCUGUAGAACCAAUAUUUCACUUAAUUUCUACAAUUUUAAUAAUAUAACUAUUUGUCAUAGAUCUGAACAUAUACACACCCUAGUGAAUGAUUCAACAUCUAAUAUAUACCAUCGGGUGGAUGUCAGGUUAAUUAUAUGUCCGGAUCGCACAAGUUAUUAACUUGACGUCACGGUCUACCAUAAUAUUUAAGCCUUAGACAACAUAACAAACCCAAUGAGUCAUGACGUCACUACAAGGGAAGAAGUGCAUGCCUCCGUUUAUAAAAUUUGGACAUAAAACAGUGGAGCAAUAUAAUAUACAACGGUAAAAAACCGUAGUCAUAUAAUGUCACAUAUAAUAAAUUAUUAACACUGUUAAAUGUUUAUAUGCGGCGAGGCAAUUGAAUCUCCCCGUUCGUAUUUUCGGGUACCACAGGUUUACCCCUGAACAGUUUCACGUACUAUUGAACUCUCUCUUCAAAGUUCUUUUCAACUUUCCCUCACGGUACUUGUUUUCUAUCGGUUUCACAGUAAUAUUUAGCCUUAGAUGGAGUUUACCACCCACUUAGAGCUGCAUUCUCAAGCAACCCGACUCUAAGGAGAAACCCACCCAAACAUAUAAACGGUCAUUACAGGCCUGGCACCCUCUACGGGCUAAUGGCCCCCUUCAAGAAGGACUUGGACGCGCUUAUAAAUACUUAGGUUAAACGGGUUCUCCCAAACACUACAUUGCCCGACAAUUGUUUCCAACUAUGGGCUUCAGUGCUGGGCUUCUCCCUGUUCGCUCGCCGCUAUUAAGGG
RNAcentral lists this ribosomal RNA (1058 nucleotides) under Stenognathus dentifer. RNAcentral's name for it is "partial 28S ribosomal RNA". The record is from RNAcentral. Lineage: Eukaryota; Metazoa; Arthropoda; Insecta; Coleoptera; Carabidae.